Molecule: ribosomal RNA, 468 nt
Filed under: uncultured bacterium
Lineage: Bacteria
Description: partial 16S ribosomal RNA
Rfam family: Bacterial small subunit ribosomal RNA
Source: RNAcentral
GACGAACGCUGGCGGCGUGCUUAACACAUGCAAGUCGAACGGAAAGGCCCUGCUUUUGUGGGGUGCUCGAGUGGCGAACGGGUGAGUAACACGUGAGUAACCUGCCCUUGACUUUGGGAUAACUUCAGGAAACUGGGGCUAAUACCGGAUAGGAGCUCCUGCUGCAUGGUGGGGGUUGGAAAGUUUCGGCGGUUGGGGAUGGACUCGCGGCUUAUCAGCUUGUUGGUGGGGUAGUGGCUUACCAAGGCUUUGACGGGUAGCCGGCCUGAGAGGGUGAACGGCCACAUUGGGACUGAGAUACGGCCCAGAAUGCUACGGGAGGCAGCAGUGGGGAAUAUUGCACAAUGGGCGGAAGCCUGAUGCAGCAACGCCGCGUGCGGGAUGACGGCCUUCGGGUUGUAAACCGCUUUCGCCUGUGACGAAGCGUGAGUGACGGUAAUGGGUAAAGAAGCACCGGCUAACUACGUG